UUUUUCUCGUCUUCUCUCUCUCUCUCCAUUAUCACUUCUUCCUUUACCAUCUCUCUCUUCCUUUCUUCCGACAACUCAUUUCCCAGAGUCACUAUUCCUUCUCUUCCAGUGGCUGCACACAGCACAAACAUCGUGUGCUAGGAAUCAUUGCGAGAGUUGCGUGCAGUGAAUUUUUGCGAGUGAUUCGAUGUCGGGCUAUAGGUUGGUGGUAGUAGCAGUGCUAAUAUACGUGGUGGUUGUGCGAAUCUGUGAAUUUGUAGUGUGGUGUAGUGUAUAGGUUGUGGUGGUGGUGUUAAUUUAUAUUUGACAUGGAUAUGGUGGUGGUUAUAGCAAUGAGUUGGUGGAUUGGCGAAGGUGGUGGUUUUGGUGCAGGUGGUGAUAAUGGUGGUGGUACCGACAUGGGCAUCGUCGGAGGUGGUGUUGCCAAAAGACAGUCUUUAGCUACUAGUGCUUGGCUUUAUUUUUGGUGUGUUUGGAAAGGUAUUAGACCUGAAUGUUGGUCGAGGUUGUAGAGGAGGUUGAGUUAGUCAUGCUGCUAGUGGAGUUCGACAACUUAGGCGAUGGUUGGCUGGAGUUUGGAGGGUUCAUAGAAGGCGAUACCACUUGCAGCUAUGAGCAACUGAUAUUUCAUGUGGUGGCGAUGAUGCUAUGAUGCCAGUGGUAGUGGUGGUGGUGAGAAUUUGUUGGAGGUGUUGAUGGUUGUCAUUUGGUUGACGUUGUUGGGAGUGGUGGUAGUGCCGAAGUGGUAGUGGCGACAAAAAUCGAGUAUGAUCAAGUCUAUUUUCAUUGUGACUGUCUGUGAUCAAAUCUAUGUUAACUAUGAUUGUACAUGACUUAGUUACAUACAAUCACAAAUUAGACCGAUAUAGUCACAGGUGGUCACACUGAAGACAAAGUUGGCCACAAUUAGUCAUAGAUAACACAGGCAAAUAAAAGUAGUAAAGUUGGAGGGGAUUGUGGUACUGGUCUAUGGUGUGUAAAAAUUUAUUUAUGGUCUCUUUGUGGUCAAAUAUAUGUUUAUUCUGAAAGUUU
Molecule: long non-coding RNA, 1032 nt
Filed under: Olea europaea subsp. europaea
Lineage: Eukaryota; Viridiplantae; Streptophyta; Magnoliopsida; Lamiales; Oleaceae
Source: RNAcentral